RNAcentral lists this ribosomal RNA (742 nucleotides) under uncultured bacterium. RNAcentral's name for it is "bacterial SSU rRNA". It matches the Rfam family "Bacterial small subunit ribosomal RNA", at positions 8 to 796 of the family's 1533-position model. The record is from RNAcentral.
AGAGUUUGAUCCUGGCUCAGAACGAACGCUGGCGGCAGGCUUAACACAUGCAAGUCGAACGCAUCCUUCGGGGUGAGUGGCAGACGGGUGAGUAACGCGUGGGAACGUGCCCUUCAGUUCGGAAUAACCCAGGGAAACUUGGGCUAAUACCGGAUACGUGCGAGAGCAGAAAGAUUUAUCGCUGAAGGAUCGGCCCGCGUCUGAUUAGCUAGUUGGUGGGGUAAUGGCCCACCAAGGCGACGAUCAGUAGCUGGUCUGAGAGGAUGAUCAGCCACAUUGGGACUGAGACACGGCCCAAACUCCUACGGGAGGCAGCAGUGGGGAAUAUUGGACAAUGGGCGCAAGCCUGAUCCAGCCAUGCCGCGUGAGUGAUGAAGGCCUUAGGGUUGUAAAGCUCUUUCGUCCGGGACGAUAAUGACGGUACCGGAAGAAGAAGCCCCGGCUAACUUCGUGCCAGCAGCCGCGGUAAUACGAAGGGGGCUAGCGUUGUUCGGAAUCACUGGGCGUAAAGGGCGCGUAGGCGGCUUUGUAAGUCGGGGGUGAAAGCCUGUGGCUCAACCACAGAAUUGCCUUCGAUACUGCAUGGCUUGAGACCGGAAGAGGUAAGUGGAACUGCGAGUGUAGAGGUGAAAUUCGUAGAUAUUCGCAAGAACACCAGUGGCGAAGGCGGCUUACUGGUCCGGUUCUGACGCUGAGGCGCGAAAGCGUGGGGAGCAAACAGGAUUAGAUACCCUAGUAGUCC